This is a non-coding RNA of Spirochaetes bacterium GWF1_49_6, 76 nucleotides long. The record is from Rfam. Lineage: Bacteria; Pseudomonadati; Spirochaetota.
CGGGCUGUAGCGCAGUUCGGUUUAGCGCACUACCUUGGGGUGGUAGGGGCCGAGAGUUCAAAUCUCUCCAGCCCGA